Molecule: long non-coding RNA, 244 nt
Filed under: Nicotiana benthamiana
Lineage: Eukaryota; Viridiplantae; Streptophyta; Magnoliopsida; Solanales; Solanaceae
Description: long non-coding RNA (NBEN_LNC009757)
Source: RNAcentral
CAAACCAUCUCUCAUACACCCCUAACAUUUCUGAUGUAACGCCACCCAUCUCCACCCUCCUUCCGUCGUCCGUCGCUGGCUGCAAAUCAUCGCCGUCGUUGACGAGUCUCCAAUGAACCCCAAAUUAACACCCUUUGAUCCCCUUCCUCCUCUUUCCAACCCCUUAAACCACAACCCUCGAAUCUUAACCGAUCAUCUCGAAUAUUAGUUCAAAGAUUCGACUGGUUCGCCGUCUACGGCGGCG